RNAcentral lists this long non-coding RNA (2537 nucleotides) under Mytilus galloprovincialis (Mediterranean mussel). The record is from RNAcentral. Lineage: Eukaryota; Metazoa; Mollusca; Bivalvia; Mytilida; Mytilidae.
UAAUGGAAAGCCAGCACUGUAUGGAUAAAAAGUUAAAAGGAAUAAAGACAAUGGUUGGUAUUCCAUUCUACUUACUAGUCCUUUCUUUUACCUUUUUACUUUAAAAAAAACAUAAAUUUAAUGAGAAAGAUACAUGUACUCUUUUUUUUUAAAGGAAUAAGUUAUGUUUUGCUGGUCAUCGAUAGCCUUAUUUACCUUAAAAACGACCCUUUUCCGAUGAAAAUAUUGAUUCACUGGUUUUUGACAUUACUAAACUAUGCUACUGGAGUACACAUUUAAUUUUUUAAAAGUUAGCAUAUUGUAGUGAUCAUGCUUUGUAUUUAGAAUUCAUGAAUAUAUGUUUUUUGUAUUGCACCUCUUCAAUGCAAGUAAACAUUUAGCAUAAGGUUUCAGUGGAACUGAUCCAAGUUAAUGCAAAGAGUGCUUCGUUCGCAUCAAAUUUAUAAAAUGUAUUAAUUUCUAUUUUGAAGUCGUUUGUACGGAACACACACAUUUUUGCAUUUUGUAAUGACGUUACGCAUUCCUUUAAUAUCAACUCAUUUAAGACAUGACAUAAUGUAAAAUGUGGAGAUUAUUCAAAAGUGUUAUCUAUUGCUUAACUCGAUAUUUUAAAACGAAAUACUUUAUAGAUUGACACCAUAUUCAAAUAUAUCUCUUAUAGGGACGAUUAUUCCGUUCUCAUUAUACAAUUAAUUUUAAAGAGAGGAAAACAAUACCAAAGGGACAUUCAAACUCAUACGUCCAUAAUAAACUGACGAAGCCAUAUCAUAACAAGAACAAGAAAAAUGAAUAAUAGAACACAAAACACAUCCUAGAAAUCUUAAUACUGGGCAUUAUGUUCAUCGUUUUGAUUGUAUUAAUACACAUUAAAACGUCUUUACCAUAACUGUAUGACCAUCUUUUAUUUUCACCGACAUAGAACGUAAGAAGGGUUUUACUUCCCGAUCGUAUAAACAUAUCUUUUAUAUUUCAAAAUACUAUAUCACAGCCUCAUGACCUAGUAGUUUUAUUUAUAGAACCUGUAUAGCAAACUGGUAGUUUCUGAAACUGAUUUUUUUUCUUUUUUAAGUGCACAAUACUUUAUCAAUGUAAGUUGACAUUGUAUCGCAACCUAUUGAAAGGCAUACAGUGUAUUCUUUUUAAAGAUAAUACAUUUGAGGGUAAAACACUUGCAUGUGACUUGUUCGUGAUUUUGCUAAAAUUGUAUAAAUCCCUAACGUAUUGAAGAUGUUGAUAAAUGCAAGUUCCUAUUAACACUUUGAUCACUCUGAUAGGUCAUUUUUUUCUUAAUGCCACAUGUUAAGACAGUCAGUUUCUUACAAAGUGUGUACGUGUCCUAAUAAGAUAUAUAGGUCACUAGCAAACUAUUUGACAAUUAUGUUGGAUGUAAUAUACUUGCACUUCAGUUAUCAAAAAUUGCCAACGCUCUGGAGAACUAUGAAGACCAAACGGAAGAUGAGGACGAUGAUGAUCCAUUUAAAUAUUCAUCGUCAGAUGAGGAUGAGUCUGACAGUCAAUCUGUGUCAUCAGAUGAUUAGAAGUAAGUAUAACUUUAUAAUAUUUUUUACGUAUUUAUUUCCGUUUUAAUUUUACAGCAAACAUAAGAAACUAUGCAUACAUUGGUAUCGAUACAACGAUAAAUAUACAUUUGCCUACGGUAACUUUUGAACAAUUACAUGCAAAUUGGAUUAAAAUCUCAAUAAUGAAUGCAAUACUAUGAUAACCAAAAUAAACCUAAUUCACUUAAUGACAUGCGACGUAUGUUUUCGAGCGAAUAAAUUUAUUUGACCGCAUUAUCUGUUUUUUUGCGUGAAAGACAAUAAAAGAGGAACAAAAGAUACCAGAGGGACAUUUUUACUCAUAGAUCUAACAUAAACUGAUAAUGCCACGCCUAUAAACAAUAGUACACAUGGCAAAACAUAUAAACACAAAUGACUUAGCAACACUUACCCCACCAAAAACUCGGGUAGAUUUCAGGUGAUCCGGAAGAGUAGGCAAUUCCUGAUACACAUGUGAAAGCCGUCGUAUUGAGCAUGUUAUUACAAACCUGUAAAUAUGGGAAGUUCUUUUUGUUGAAAAGUGAAAUUUAUUGACGGAUAUUCCCAACGGUCAACAAACAGAUGUUGGCGUCCGUAAAAUUUACGAAGGGAUGAUUUGAAUUCACAAUUUUGAACUCUUGAUUUAAUAAUUUCCUUGUGAAAAAGAUUAAUUGAUUAAUUGAAUAUUAAUAAUUAACUUUUUUACAUUCUGUGAUUGUUCUGCAAAGUUAAAUUGUAGAUAGAUUUCAGAUCCGAAAUCCUUGUGUGUAGGAUGUAUACAUUAUGUUCAAUUAGUUAAUCAAUACGCAAUACGAACAAAGCACUAAUCAUACAUCAAAACAAACUUGACAUGGCAAUUUAACAAUUUCAUAGACGAAAAGAGUCCAUAAAGGUUAAUAUAAGAACAUGUGCUGACUUAUGUUUCAUUAGACACAUAGUAAAUUAUCACAACCUUUUAUUUUGAAAUUUCAGGACCACAUCUUAACUGGUAAAGCAUGG